AGUGAACGCUGGCGGUAGGCCUAACACAUGCAAGUCGAACGGCAGCACAGUAAGAGCUUGCUCUUACGGGUGGCGAGUGGCGGACGGGUGAGGAAUACAUCGGAAUCUACUUUUUCGUGGGGGAUAACGUAGGGAAACUUACGCUAAUACCGCAUACGACCUCCGGGUGAAAGCAGGGGAUCUUCGGACCUUGCGCGAUUGAAUGAGCCGAUGUCGGAUUAGCUAGUUGGCGGGGUAAAGGCCUACCAAGGCGACGAUCCGUAGCUGGUCUGAGAGGAUGAUCAGCCACACUGGAACUGAGACACGGCCCAGACUCCUACGGGAGGCAACAGUGGGGAAUAUUGGACGAUGGGCGAAAGCCUGAUCCAGCCAUACCGCGUGGGUGAAGAAGGCCUUCGGGUUGUAAAGCCCUGUUGUUGGGAAAGAAAAGCAGCAGGUUAAUACCCCGCUGUUCUGACGGUACCCAAAGAAUAAGCACCGGCUAACUUCGUG
Molecule: ribosomal RNA, 492 nt
Filed under: uncultured bacterium
Lineage: Bacteria
Description: partial 16S ribosomal RNA
Rfam family: Bacterial small subunit ribosomal RNA
Source: RNAcentral